UGAAGCCCCAGACAACUUAGCUCCUAGGAUAAUUGGGAGACACAAACCCCUCCACCACGAUAAGGUGACGGCUCAAGGAGGGGCUUCAUAAAACAACUUGAACGGCAAAAUAGGGUCACCAGGAGCAACGAACAUGAACAAGGCAGCUCUACAGUGGAUAUGAAAAGACUACACUACACACCCUUGAUGGCGGCCUAGCAGCAUGAAAUAUAUGGACACCGGAAAUUCGUACGCCACCAAAUCCUUCCACCGGAAAUGCCGAAUACGCUGCCGUGCGUGUGGCCAAUUGUGAAAUAAAACCGUGUUUCUUUCUCGAGUCGGAAAAGCUCUGUUAUUUGAGAAUGGACUUUGCAAGAGAGGAAGAACCGGAGCCCAUAAGGCUCAAAUCGAUGAGGAAACAAGUUUUCGCAGUGCCCAAAAAUGAUAGGUUUGGGAGGUGCAGAAGUGUUCGAGGGUUUGAAAAGCUCAACCGAAUAGGGGAAGGAACCUAUGGCAUUGUUUACCGUGCUCGUGACACCAACUCUGAUGAAAUUGUUGCAUUGAAGAAGGUUCGGAUGGAUAAAGAAAAAGAUGGGAUUCCCAUCAGCAGCCUCAGAGAGAUAACCCUGUUGCUGCGGCUCCGACAUCCCAACAUAGUGGAUCUGAAGGAGGUGGUUGUGGGCAGUCACCUUGAAAGUCUGUUUCUGGUGAUGAGCUACUGUGAGCAGGACUUGGCUAGUCUGCUGGAGAACAUACAGACACCAUUCUCUGAAGCUCAGGUGAAAUGUAUCAUACUGCAGUUGUUGAGAGGGUUGCGCUAUCUCCAUCACAAUUUCAUCAUUCACAGGGACCUAAAGGUGUCUAAUCUGCUGAUGACAGACAAAGGCUGUGUUAAAAUAGCUGAUUUUGGAUUGGCUCGCAUGUAUGGCGUCCCCCAACAACCCAUGACACCUAGGGUGGUUACAUUGUGGUACAGAGCUCCAGAGCUCCUCUUAGGAAGCAAAACCCAGACUACAGCUCUGGAUAUGUGGGCUGUAGGUUGUAUCCUGGCUGAGCUGUUGGCGCACAAACCUCUACUGCCUGGAACAUCUGAGAUCCAGCAGCUCGAUCUGAUAGUUCAGUUAUUGGGGACGCCUAAUGAAAACAUCUGGCCGGGUUUUUCUGAUCUACCGCUCACUGGGCAGUACACUCUGAGGAAGCAGCCCUACAAUAACCUGAAGAAUAAAUUCACUUGGUUGUCUGAAGCUGGACACAGGCUGCUCAAUCUGCUCUUCAUGUACCAUCCACAGCGCAGGAGUUUGACAGCUGGGUGCGUUGAGGUGCAGUCGUUCUUGUAGAGAGAGAAAAGCAGCGGAGAGAGGACACAUCCUUGGGGCGCCCCGGUGCCGAUGGUGCAUGUAGAUGAGGUCGUGUCCACCAGCCUCACCUGCUGUGCCCUGCCCGUCAGGAAGCUGUGAAUCUACUGAGAGAUGGGAGGCGAGACGCUGAGCUGGAUAAGCUUAGAGGAGAGGAUUUCGGGGAUGAUGGUGUUGAACACAGAGCUGUAGUCCACGAACAGGAUCCUCGCGUAGGUCCCCGCGCUGUCGAGAUGUUCUAGGAUGAAGUGCAGUCCCAUGUUGACUCACUUGGUUAACAUACCUAUUUGCUCGGUAGGCAAACUGCAGGGGUCCUGUGACGCUCUUGACAUGUUCCAGCACGAGGUGUUCAAAAGACUUCAUGACAACAGAUGUCAGGGCGGCAGGCCUGUAGUCAUUCAGACCUGAGAUUGCAGGUUUGAAACAGGAUGGUUGGUACGUCACACAGUUACAGAGAUCUAUUGAAGAUCUCUGUGAAAACUGGAGCAAGCUGGAAGACGGGAGCAAGAUGGUCCACGCAGACUUUGAGGCAGGAUGGGGACACAAGGUCUGGGCCUGUCACUUUGUUGAUAUUUUGUUGUUUGAAUAUACGUCUCACAUCCUGUUCAUGGAUGGUCAAUGCAGAAGGGGGACUCAGAGGUGUGAUGGUGGCCGGUGGUACGGUUGGGUGGGUGUGGGGUGUGAAAGUGUCCUUUUCAAAUCUGGAAUAGGUGUUCAAGUCGUCAGCCAGCCCUUUAUUUUUCUCCGUUUGGGGGGGAUGGUCGCUUGUAGUUGUUUAGUGAUUGUAAUCCAUGCCAGACUGGCUUAGUCGUUAGCAGUGAACAGUUUUUCUGCAUACUUUCUCUUUGCGAUGUUAAUUUCUUUUGUCAGCUGGUUUCUAGCUCGAUUGUACAAUGCUCUGUCCCCACUUCAAUAGGCGUCCUCUUCAGCCUGGCGAAGUUGUUGAAGUUUGGCCGUGAACAAUGGCUUGUUGUUAUUGAAUGUGCGAAAUGUCUUUGUUGGUACACACACAUUCACCUUCGUGACCAAAAGGGGGGAGCUGGACCAUUUUCCCGCUUUGCAUUGUCCCACACCUCUCCUCUUUAAUACCUGUAACAAAUGUUUCAAGUGUUAUGUGAUUGUUGAGAACACUGUAAUAUUUGCAAGGUGACAUUUGUGUGAUGUGGAGUGAAACAUUUAAUCUGGUUCAGUUGACAACAGAUUCGACAUCAGACAUUCAAGUUUGUAGAAAUCCAGUCCCUAGUGGCGUUCAUGUAAAGUUCUUAAAAUAUUAAAUCCCAGCCAAGUCCGGUAAAGACUGUGGUUAAUGAAUAAUGAACCUGCGUCUGCAGUGGCGAUCCAUCGCCUGUGGGUUUCGCAAGCAACCCAUCCAGCUUGACUGGCGAAGUGUCACCGGCGCAGCGGGGAGGAGAUGCCUUCGUUGGUGAGGGACUGUGGGCUGGCUGGUGGUGGAGGUUAAUUAGUUUAGCGUUCUGUUGCAAACUAGGUAUCUUUUGUCUCCGCUUUGAUGCUCCGGGUGCUGGUAAUUUACUUAGCGUCGGCGUGCAACAGCAGAUGUCUGUGGCUUGCUUUUGAUGAUCCCAGCUUGUGAUUCGCUUAGCGUCUGUAUGUGAAGUUGAGUCUCGCCACUCCGUGGUUGUCUAUCUCGGCGGGAAGAGCGGCGAUCAUCGGAGACUGGGGUGCUGGGUGUCAUCUUUUCAUGGCGUGUCCACUACACUAGACAUUUUGUCCCUAAAAAAGGUGGAACAAUCUGCCAAUGGAACUAGUAUGAAUUGACUUGAUUCUUUUUGUCAACCAGAAAAUUGAGAAAAAAGUCAAAACUGUCUUAAAAUAAGGACAGUAAGAUAUUUUCACUCCAAAUAAGAUAAAUUCACUCGGUAAAAUGUUUUGUUUUUGUAUAGUUAAAAAAGGUCUCACUGAAAAACUGAAACAGCCCAAAGCACCUCAAGCACAAGGUAAAACAAAUCUAAUAUUUGAGUCAAGUCGUUAAUGUCUUUGGAUUAUUUAUAAAGUUAUUUUCAUAUGAACAUCUUGGCUAAGUAUUACUUUGCUGUCAAUGUGAAAGCAGUUACUGUAUCCGCUAUGGAGGUAGCUAAUUUGUUUAACUGUAUACAGCGGCUGAAAUAAGUAUUUAACACGUCACCAUUUUUCUCACUAAAUAUACUUCCAAAGGUGCCAUUGAAUUGAAAAUUUCACCAGAUGUUGGGAACAACCCAAGGAAUCCAUACAUACAAAGAAAGUAGACCAAAUAAGAUCAGAAAUUAAGUUGUGUGUAAAAAUGAAAAAUGACAGGGGAAAAAGUGUUCAACAGAGAAAGGGAGGUGCAAAAAGGCAUGGAAAGCCAAGACAACACUAAAAUCUAUCAGCUGCAAAUAAAUAUCAGCUGGUUCAGCCCUAUUUGAUGGCCGACAAAAAGGUCUCAUUGUCAAGGUGUGAGGCAAGCCACAUCUCAUGAUGGGUAAGAGCAGAGAGCUGUGUCAAGACCAUCGCAAACUAAUUGUUGCAAAACAUAACGAUGGCAUUGGUUACAAGCGCACAUCUAAGCUGCUGAACGUUUCAGUGAGCACGGUUGGGGCCAUAAUACGUAAGUGGAAAGCCAAUCAUACCACCAUAAAUUUGCCUUGAUCAGGUGCUUCUCACAAGAUUUCUGACAGAGGAGUGCAAAGAAUAAUCAUAAGAGUUGUCCAAGAGCCAAGGACCACCUGUGGAGAGCUUCAAAAGCGGGUACUGUUUUCACAAGGAAAACACAGAGUAAUGCACUCCGCUGCAUGGCCUGUAUGCACGCUCACCACGCAAGACCCCAUUGCUGAAAAGAAAGCAUGUCAUAGCUCAUUAACAGUUUGCCGAACAACAUUUCGGCAAGCCAGUUAAACACUGGGAGAAUAUAGUCUUGACGGAUGACAGCAAAAUUGAACUGUUUGGAUGCCAAGGAGGCGGUACGGUGGCCAGCUGGUUAGAGCGUCAGCCUCACAGUUCUGAGGACCCGGCUUCAAUCCCCAGCCCCGCCUGUGUGGAGUUUGCAUGUUCUCCCCGUGCCUGUGUGGGUUUUCUCCGGGCACUCCGGUUUCCUCCCACAUCCCAAAAACAUGCAUGAAUUGGAGACUCUAAAUUGCCCGUAGGUGUGAACGUGAGUGCGAAUGGUUGUUUGUUUGUAUGUGCCCUGCGAUUGGCUGGCAACCAGUUCAGGGUGUACCCCGCCUCCUGCCCGAUGACAGCUGGGAUAGGCUCCGGCACGCCCGCGACCCUAGUGAGGAGAAGCGGCUCAGAAAAUGGAUGGACUUAAUUUCUGAUCUUAUUUGUUCUACUUUCUUUGUAUGUAUGGAUUACUUGGGUUGUUCCCAACAUCUGAGCUACUGCCAAAGAUUGCUUGGAGAGUUCCUACUUCAAGGAGAAACCUCUACCUUGCGAGCCCGAGCUGAUGCCGACCUUCCCUCACCAUCGCAACAAACGUGCUUCUUUUCAGCCAGAGAGCCACUUGAAAUGCAG
Molecule: RNA transcript, 4820 nt
Organism: Phyllopteryx taeniolatus (common seadragon)
Lineage: Eukaryota; Metazoa; Chordata; Actinopteri; Syngnathiformes; Syngnathidae
Gene: cdk10
Gene name: cyclin dependent kinase 10
Exons: 15
Source: RefSeq, a predicted model, not a curated record